CACAGAGGGUGCGAGCGUUAAUCGGAAUUACUGGGCGUAAAGCGUGCGCAGGCGGUUUUGUAAGCCAGAUGUGAAAUCCCCGGGCUUAACCUGGGAAUGGCAUUUGGGACUGCAAGGCUUGAGUUUGGCAGAGGAGACUGGAAUUCCUGGUGUAGCAGUGAAAUGCGUAGAUAUCAGGAGGAAUACCGAUGGCGAAGGCAGGUCUCUGGGCUAGAACUGACGCUCAUGCACGAAAGCGUGGGGAGCAAACAGG
Molecule: ribosomal RNA, 253 nt
Filed under: uncultured bacterium
Lineage: Bacteria
Description: partial 16S ribosomal RNA
Rfam family: Bacterial small subunit ribosomal RNA
Source: RNAcentral